Saccostrea cuccullata (small rock oyster) is the source of this 926-nucleotide long non-coding RNA. RefSeq lists it as uncharacterized. The record is from RefSeq and is a predicted model, not a curated record. The transcript has 3 exons. NCBI's taxonomy places the organism in Eukaryota, Metazoa, Mollusca, Bivalvia, Ostreida, Ostreidae.
UUCAAAAUUUUCAGAAACUGUUAAAGAGGAAAUAGAAACAAAUAUUAUGAUAUUUUCUAUAAUUGUAUCGUUAUUUUAAUCACCGGUGUUUAACACGAGUGUUCAUUUCUUAAUCAUAUAUAUUUAUAAAUUAAACACAUAGCAUUUAUAUUGAAAUUGCAAAUUAAACACCAGUGUUUAAUACGUUAUGAUAGAAAAUGACGCAGUUGAUUAUGUCAUAACAUGCCAUUUGAACGCAGAAGAUGCAGAAUCACGCAUAUACUGACAAGAAACGCCAUAUCUAGCAAGGAAAUAAGAGGGACAUUCAUCUGGUACUGUGAAUCCUGAGAACGAAGAUCAUACUUAACCGAGAGAGGAUAUGAAGAAAUUAGAACUACUUCGGGUGAAUGCAAUUUUGGAGAAUGGAAAACUGGAGAUCAUCACCCGUUGUAGAAGAACCUGAAUUUUACCCGCAACCAGAGGAGCUAGACUGUUUAACUCGGUUCGAAUAUUAUAUGGAUAUUGAGUGAGUGAUACCCCGGCAUCUCUUGUUUAGUAGCAAGAACUGGUCCUUUACAAUUCAAAACUGGAAAAAUUUCUUUAUUUGGUUAAAACUCUGAAUAUUUGUGAAAGUAUAAACUUGUAACAUUUACAACUAGAUUUAUUAGUGUAAUACAAGUACAUAUAAUUCAUGCUGUACCAAGACAACAAAUAUCAUUUUCAGUUUUUUGUAUCAUAUUAUUUUAUCAUUUUGCUUGUUUUAUUUAUUAAAAAAGAUGUAAAGGAUGGUUUAACCUAUUUUUUAAAAAAUGUUUUAAAUUUUACUGAUGAAAAACAUUUCAUUUUAUUAAGCGAUUAUGUUUUUUUUCAUAUUUCAAAGACCCUCCCCCGCCCUCCCGACACCAAUUUAUUGGAGUUUAGUUUAAACAGAUUUUACAUCUUCAUGC